UACGAAAGGGGCUAGCGUUGUUCGGAAUUACUGGGCGUAAAGCGCACGUAGGCGGACUGCCAAGUUAGGGGUGAAAGCCCAGCGCUCAACUCUGGAAUUGCCUCUAAAACUGGUAAGCUAGAGGAUGGGAGAGGUGAGUGGAAUUCCGAGUGUAGAGGUGAAAUUCGUAGAUAUUAGGAAGAACACCAGUGGCGAAGGCGGCUCACUGGCACGUUACUGACGCUGAGGCGCGAAAGCGUGGGGAGCAAACAGG
RNAcentral lists this ribosomal RNA (253 nucleotides) under uncultured bacterium. RNAcentral describes it as "partial 16S ribosomal RNA". It matches the Rfam family "Bacterial small subunit ribosomal RNA", at positions 524 to 776 of the family's 1533-position model. The record is from RNAcentral.